RNAcentral lists this ribosomal RNA (493 nucleotides) under uncultured bacterium. RNAcentral's name for it is "bacterial SSU rRNA". It matches the Rfam family "Bacterial small subunit ribosomal RNA", at positions 28 to 521 of the family's 1533-position model. The record is from RNAcentral.
GAUGAACGCUAGCGGCAGGCCUAAUACAUGCAAGUCGAACGGAAUAUAGUUUUCGGAUUAUAUUUAGUGGCGCACGGGUGAGUAACACGUACAUAACUUACCCUCAAGAGGGGGAUAGCCUUGGGAAACUGAGCGUAAUACCCCAUAGUAUUAUUGAACGGCAUCGUUUGAUAAUUAAAGCUACGGCGCUUGAGGAUAGAUGUGCGUCUGAUUAGCUAGUUGGUAAGGUAACGGCUUACCAAGGCGACGAUCAGUAGGGGGCGUGAGAGCGUGGCCCCCCACACGGGUACUGAGACACGGACCCGACUCCUACGGGAGGCAGCAGUAAGGAAUAUUGGUCAAUGGAGGCAACUCUGAACCAGCCAUUCCGCGUGAAGGAUGAAUGCCCUCUGGGUUGUAAACUUCUUUAGUCUGGGAAGAAAACAUAUAUUCAUAUAUGUCUGACGGUACCAGAAGAAUAAGCACCGGCUAACUCCGUGCCAGCAGCCGCGGU